This 345-nucleotide long non-coding RNA is filed under the name Gallus gallus (chicken). The record is from RNAcentral. Lineage: Eukaryota; Metazoa; Chordata; Aves; Galliformes; Phasianidae.
GAAUCAUUAAUGUUCGAAGAGACCAUUAGGAUCAUCAAGCCCAACCACAGGUCCCUCAGAUGACUGCAUAUAGCAAGUCUCCCCAAAAUACAGGAGGGACACCCAAUCCAGCUUUUCAGGGAUCUCCUGGGCUCUCUGCUUCAACAGUGAAUCACCAAGCCUUGGUGAAACCAUGGCUCUUUCAGGUAAAGAAUCAGCCAAACUGAUGCUGCUCUCUGGAAGUCCAGAAGAGAGGUUACAAGGAGCACCACAAAAAGAGCAUGAAAACAGAAUCAUCACAGAAACAUUCAGAUUGGAUAAGAUCACCAAGAUCAUCAACUCCCACCAUCGAACCACCACCACCAC